Piliocolobus tephrosceles (Ugandan red Colobus) is the source of this 831-nucleotide long non-coding RNA. RefSeq lists it as uncharacterized. Lineage: Eukaryota; Metazoa; Chordata; Mammalia; Primates; Cercopithecidae. The transcript has 2 exons. The record is from RefSeq and is a predicted model, not a curated record.
CCCCGAGAUCAGUCACCUCCCACCAGGCCCCUCCCCAACCGUGGGAAUGACAGUUCAACAUGAGAUGGGGCGACCCAGACCCAGACCACAUCAGUGGCUUUCAGGAGAUGUGACGAGCAAUGCAGGCACGGCCCCCUUGGAAUAAAGUGUCCGCGGGAAGCGCUCUGUGAACUCUGCGGUACUCACCAUGCGCUGGGCGCGUUUUCAGCGGGGACCACACUCUGGGGAAGCCUGUGUCGGGGAGUGAGCCCCGCUCUGUCUGGGCAGAGGCAGCCCCAGCACCGCAGAGGGCGUUCCUUAGGUCCGGACGGGGGCACAGUCAGGUGUGAAUUCUGGGCCCUGAGCUGGGGCCAUCAUCUCCUUCCCUCUGAGAGCGAGCACAGGGGCCACUGCAGGUGCCGCUGGAGUGCUGGAGUGCUGUGCUGUGCUGUGCCGUGCCGUGCCGCGCCGCGCCGCGCCGCGCCGCGUGCCCUCCGAGCUUGAGGACCUUCCACUGAGCUGUACCUCACUGAAGAUCCCCUGCCCCAGGCUCAAGUCAGAGAGAGAGGAGGCCACAGUGCUGGAAUUCCAGCUGGGCAUCCGUCCCAGCUCUGCGCCGAGUGCGUUCAGCCCCGGCUGGAGCUUGCAGACUGCAGCCCUGCAGGAACCCACCAGGACUGACUCCUUCCUCCCCAGAUCCCACAGAAAAACAGUGGAUCUCCACUCGGCACGUGUCCCCUCCACGUUCACAUGAAGUGUCUUUUAGCGGAAAGUGUAUAAACGCGUUAAUUUUGGUUACUGCACUGAAGUGAGGCAAGUUCCUGCAGCUUUAUUAAAUGACCAGUGCUGUCA